UACGUAGGGUGCGAGCGUUGUCCGGAAUUACUGGGCGUAAAGAGCUCGUAGGUGGUUUGUCGCGUUGUUCGUGAAAUCUCACGGCUUAACUGUGAGCGUGCGGGCGAUGCGGGCAGACUGGAGUACUGCAGGGGAGACUGGAAUUCCUGGUGUAGCGGUGGAAUGCGCAGAUAUCAGGAGGAACACCGGUGGCGAAGGCGGGUCUCUGGGCAGUAACUGACGCUGAGGAGCGAAAGCGUGGGGAGCGAACAGG
This 253-nucleotide ribosomal RNA is filed under the name uncultured bacterium. Its description in RNAcentral is "partial 16S ribosomal RNA". It matches the Rfam family "Bacterial small subunit ribosomal RNA", at positions 524 to 776 of the family's 1533-position model. The record is from RNAcentral.